AGCUUUACGUAUGCAAAUAUCUUGCAAGUGUUACUGAUGCACGGACAACAAAAUAUAAUAAUCUUGACAACACAAAUAAAUGAAUUUUAUCAUUUCACAAUUAUACAAUAGCACACAAUUCAGCUACAAGACAGCUGUCAUCUUUUUCAGGAAUGUAGCUGAUUUUAGACAUUCAGACAUUGUUCAGAAGUCGCAUUCGGAAAUGUGAACAAAGCCCCUUUCCCCGGAACAAACAAAAAAACACACACAAAAAAUAAAUAAAUAAAUAGCAAAGGAAAAGAAAAGUUGAGAGUUAUUGCCAUUAGUAAUUGAGUCCCUUUACAGCACAGAUGAUGGGUUUGUGCUGCUGGAUAAAGUGUCAAUCUUAAAGCAAGGCUGUGCUUAUUGUCCAGCUGAGGGACCACCAAUCAUCUCCCAGCCGAUGCAUUGUUAUAGUCUGAGUAUUGACAUGCUUCAUAAAUCAGAGCUAUUGGAUUGCCAGCUGCUAUUUUUACAGUGACAUGACCUGCCUGCCAGAGGCUUCACAUCCUGGUGUGCGUGUAUUGACCUGAUGCUCUGAGACAGGCAACAGUCAGGAGAGCCCACCAUGAUUUCUCCUGAACACACACAUACGCGCAUUCACACACAUAUGGGGGUCCAUUAUGUACACUCACACAAAUUCCAAUAUUGAGGAUAGGGCUGGAUAGGAUAAUUAUUAUCGUUAUAAAACGAAAAUUAGCUGGGCUAAAAGUUGUUUUCAUUUUCGGUGUAAGACUGUUAAUAUGUCACUUUAUUACGUUUUAAUAUUUUCGCACUAUUCACAACAUGGGGUCAAUUUAUCCAAAUAACGCCUGGUUGUAAAUCUGCUGCGACGUUUUCGGAGAUAUGAGGAGCCGCCAAUGAGAGCUGCUAGCCGCGACCAGCCAAUCAUCUCAGGUGCUAGCAGCCCGACUCCUGAGAUGAUUGGGCGGUCAAUGUCCGUCGUCAUCCUGGGGAGAACACGAUCCAUGAACUGAUUGUCGCAGCUCUUUUCUAUAUGAUAUAAUUCCUUUUGGAAGAUAAAUGUUGCUCUCACAGUAACUGCCACAUUAGUUAGUCUGAAUGUAAAGUGAAACGUCAUGUUCUUACUGGACAGAACAACAGCGCUGCCUCUGGGGCUCUAUAUGUAUACAUAUCACCACAUUUACAUACAUAUAAUUCAUCGGAUCAUGUUCUUCCCGGGAUGAUGACGCAGGAGUCGGACUGCUAGCAGCUGAGAUGACUGAUUGGUCCUGGCCAGAGGCUCCUCACAUCUCUGAAAACGUUGGAGCAAAUAUCAGAACAGGAGUUAUUUGGAUAAACUGACCACACAUUGUUAAUCUACAUGGUUACUUUCUCGCCUGAAAAAAUAUUAAAACUUAAUAAAAUGACAUAUUACAUAACAGUGCUACAACGAAAAUUACAAGAGCUUUUCGCCUGCUUUAAAAUCUCCGCUAUUGCUGCCGGUCGGUGUGAAAUGCAUUCUGGGAUACUUGGCUGCAUACUUCAGUGUAAACAGUCUGCUAGUAAAGGCAUACUUAUUCGUCGAUUUAGUAGGCAGUAUGCAGUACAUGCUCUUUGAAUAUGUAGUAGGCAGAACGUUAGUAUGUGAUUUCGAACACACCCAGAGUCACGUGCUGCCAAGAUGACGACGGCCGGAACGGCUCUCUUUGAGCUUCAAAACCGCUCCUCAGAAACCAAAGGGUGACGUCACGCCAUUAUGCUUCCCAUUAUGUGGGACAUCUUCAUUUCCAUCUGGAGAGAUGUGCGACUGGAUUGAGCUGACUCCUGUGCACUGAUGGAGAGAGACAAUAGACUGUCAGGUGUCCGGUCCCAUUCACGCCACCCAGCCAUCCAUUUUCAUUAGGCGUGUCAAGAAGCGGACAGCAUAUUUUCUAUUGGACUUCCACACAUAAAUUUGUACCAAAUAAGAGGGCUGCCAUCAAAAUAUGACAGCUUGUGUCGCGAAAGCGGAGCAGGAGGGAGAUUGAGUGGUUGCAUGGUUGCCUUUUUGGAAAAGCCUCGGCAACAAACGCCCCGGCCGAUGAUUCCGUUGAACAAUUUCUCAUCUUGUGAGAUUCAUUGUUGGCCCAGAAGUGUUGUUUUGCCACAUUACAUGCAUUUGUCAUCUAUUUAAGCAGGAGGAGAUGGAGCAAAUACAAUUUAUUAAUCUUUGUUGAUGGAAAUUAAAGCAAAGUCAAGACA
Thunnus maccoyii (southern bluefin tuna) is the source of this 2202-nucleotide long non-coding RNA. RefSeq lists it as uncharacterized. Lineage: Eukaryota; Metazoa; Chordata; Actinopteri; Scombriformes; Scombridae. The transcript has 2 exons. The record is from RefSeq and is a predicted model, not a curated record.